RNAcentral lists this transfer RNA (95 nucleotides) under Burkholderia ubonensis. RNAcentral describes it as "tRNA-Ala". The record is from RNAcentral. Lineage: Bacteria; Pseudomonadati; Pseudomonadota; Betaproteobacteria; Burkholderiales; Burkholderiaceae.
UGUCGUGCCGGGCGUCGACGGCCUGCGUCGCGCGCUGGCCGCGCGCCGCGACGCGCGGCGCGAUGCCGGCCAGGUCGUAGCCGGCCGCGGCGGCC